Long non-coding RNA from Triticum aestivum (bread wheat), 1617 nucleotides. RefSeq lists it as uncharacterized. Lineage: Eukaryota; Viridiplantae; Streptophyta; Magnoliopsida; Poales; Poaceae. The record is from RefSeq and is a predicted model, not a curated record. The transcript is spliced from 6 exons.
ACCAUCGUUACGAGAAAAGAGAAGCCCCCACGACCUAUUCGCCCCAACCGCUGCACGCCCCUUGCCUCACUGCCGACCACGCCGCCCGCACGCACCCUACACCGCCUCGUCUCUCCGGCGCCUGCCCCGCCUCCCCGAUGCGAGGCAGCUCUACGCGCCGCCCCUCAUCAUCGGCGGCGAGAGGCACGCGGGAGCUGCAGCCGCCGCCAGGGACGUGGACGCGUGUAGGCCAACCGCCAGCGUACGAGGUCGCUCCUGAGCCCGCGGUGCGGCGGCGCGGAGCCCUCCGCCGCCAGUUCCCUGCCGGUUCGAGAUCCCCACCGCUCUCCUCCAUGCCAUCACUUUCCUUCCUGCUGCCAGUUCCACCCUUCUCUGCCCUAUCUCCAGGCGCAAACAACCUAUAGAGUCAAGAGUACAAUACCAAAAUACGAGCUGCAAAAGUGACUCAAAUUCCUUUUCGCUCAUAAUUAACUACAUUGAGGUGGAGGCUGGCCUGCAGCUCGUGUGCGUGAAAGAGAAGCACACUUCAUUGAGAAGUUUUUGCCGCUAUCCUCGGUGGCACCGCCAGUGACCAAACUUGGUGUGGACAACAUGCUGGAGAGAGAAUGUUCAUCCCUAUGAUCCCUUUGGCGCCCUCGGAGGACAUUUCGCUUCCUUUCAAAUUGAAGAGGAAACAAUUCCCUGGAUGGAUCCUGGAAAGCCUCUUCCGGAACCAAGUCCCCUCCCCACUCGGAGUCCUCCGCCGCUGACGCAUGGGUAAGCGCAAGAGCUGUAGCCCGUCCACACGGUUUAGCGAGCUGCCGCCAUCGUAGAUAACCAAGACAUACACGGAAAUAAGCAAGAUUCAGUGCGCCGCCCUGCCCCCACGCGUUAUGAGGGUGCGACGUCCUCGACGUGUCCAAGACAGGGUCCAGGAAGACCCUCUCCUUCGUGAUCCCGAUAGGCCCAAUCUUCCUCGACGAGGGGUUGUGAUGGCGGGCACAGCGUUGCUGGAUGACGCUGAGAGUAUAGUGGGUGGGUUCAAGUACAUCCCUCUGUGCCAGCAUGCAGCGGGUCUGCCGACAGGGAGAGCCAGGAAGAGAAUGUAGUCCGCGGCAGCUGAGCGGGAAGGGGGGCAGCUUGCCGUGAUUGAAGAACAUGACGACCAUGCUGAUACAAGGUCAGUGAUGUAGACAGGGAAGAUGGACCCUCAUGCCCCUGGGUGGACGAAGAGAUUGUGCAGGAUUUGGGUAGGGAGCCAUCCACCGGAAAGGACCCCGUGUUCGGAGAAGGUUUGCGCACUUGAAAAGACGAUUAGUAUGUGAAGAAGUGCACCUUCACAUAUCUGAAUAUUGAUACCCUUCCUAAUCCUUAGUUUUGGGCCUUGUUCAGCAUAUACAGAUAUACUACCAUCUUAGAGAAAUAUGUUGUUUAAAGAUGAAGAGGUGGAUAAGUUUCUGGCUUUAGUUACUGAAUAUCCAGAUCCGGUUUGCUUCUCAGCCAUGGCCUACAUUUAGAGAAGACAUGUUUAUAUGUAAGAGCUUUAAGGUCAAUUACCUCCCCAUGUUGUAAUGCUCAUCAUCUUAAUUCGGACAUUGUUAUAUAUAUGCACCAUGGUUCAUGACUGUACUUUUUUCA